Molecule: long non-coding RNA, 1219 nt
Organism: Hippoglossus stenolepis (Pacific halibut)
Lineage: Eukaryota; Metazoa; Chordata; Actinopteri; Pleuronectiformes; Pleuronectidae
Exons: 3
Source: RefSeq, a predicted model, not a curated record
GUGGCAGAGGCGGAGCAGGUCCGAGGCUCAGCUCUGUCUGGAUGGCACACAGCGGCUGGACCCUGACAGCUGGUCUCUGGUACUCUGGGCUGGAGGUGACGGUGCUGUAGGCUGGCGGCCCGGCCGUGGUUUGCCUCUGGAGGAGCUGCAGGAUGGCCUGGAUGUCUGCAGUCAUCUGGGACUCCAGUCUGAUGGACAGAAAAACGUCAAAGCCCCAACCAGAGUUAUUGCUCUGCAGCUGUAUGCCUCCGCCAACCACUGCAAUUUCAGUCUACAUAUAUUUUUUUCUCCAGAAUCACACGAGGCCACAAUGACCUUUAACCUUUGACCACUGGAUUCUUAUCAGUUGAUCUUUAGGUCCAAGUGAACAUUUAAACCAAAUUUGACAGACAACCUGAAAAACACAAUGCCUCUGGCCACUGGGGGUCACCAACGCGAAGGAAUAAAAAAUGAACAAAAACUUUUUUUUGAAGAAGGUUUCUUUAAUUUGACAUUGAUGAGGAAUUAAAUCUUAAUGGAACUUUAAUGUGAUAUUAAAAAGCCCAAGUUCAGUAAAUGUACUUAGUGGUAUCAUGCCUGAAGAUCAAGUACAAUAUAUAUGUAUACAAUAUGAUAUAGUGUAAUAUAUAGAAUGACUUUGCAUCAUCCUACUUAAGAUUUAAUGCUUAAAAGUACUAGUGUUGUUUAAUUUGAUUUAUAAAAACAUCUUAAAACUGACAAAUUACUCAUUCAAAAUUUAAAUAUAUAAUACUAAUAACAACAUAUACAAAGUCCUCCCCCACGAGUCUACCUGACUUGGUAUAUUCCAAGCCCCCGCCGCCUUCUCCAUAUAUCCCAUUGGACUCCUCCACUUCCGGUUUGCCAGUCAGUACUUCCGCAUGGAGCCGGAGCUGCAGGAUCCGGAGCCAUAGAUCCAUCAUGAGGCAGCAGUUACAGAGAGGAGACCCCCCCCCCCCCACGGAGCCACCAGGAGCCGGAGCUGCUGCCGGGGGCCACCAUGAGCCAGAGAUGGAGGUAGAGGGAGCCAGAGCCGCUGGAGCCGCCAGGAGCCGGAGCCCAUGGACCCAUCAUUUGGUGACUACUGCUUAAAAUAUCAACACAUUUAUUGGAUCUUCUGCGUGUUUGACGUGUCGCCGCAGCUUUUUCAUUGUUAACAUGUUAAUAGUGGAAACUGCUGUGACUCAUCAAACAAUCAGAAGAUCUAAUCAAUGGGUUGCUA